Molecule: transfer RNA, 73 nt
Filed under: Zingiber officinale
Lineage: Eukaryota; Viridiplantae; Streptophyta; Magnoliopsida; Zingiberales; Zingiberaceae
Rfam family: tRNA
About the family: Transfer RNA (tRNA) molecules are approximately 80 nucleotides in length. Their secondary structure includes four short double-helical elements and three loops (D, anti-codon, and T loops).
Source: Rfam by way of RNAcentral
GGGGAUGUAGCUAAGAUGGUAGAGCACUCACUUAGCAUGCGAGAGGUACGAGGAUUGAUACCCCGCAUCUCCA